This 76-nucleotide transfer RNA is filed under the name Thermus sp. Its description in RNAcentral is "tRNA-Gly". It matches the Rfam family "tRNA". Rfam says of the family: Transfer RNA (tRNA) molecules are approximately 80 nucleotides in length. Their secondary structure includes four short double-helical elements and three loops (D, anti-codon, and T loops). Further hydrogen bonds mediate the characteristic L-shaped molecular structure. tRNAs have two regions of fundamental functional importance: the anti-codon, which is responsible for specific mRNA codon recognition, and the 3' end, to which the tRNAs corresponding amino acid is attached (by aminoacyl-tRNA synthetases). tRNAs cope with the degeneracy of the genetic code in two manners: having more than one tRNA (with a specific anti-codon) for a particular amino acid; and 'wobble' base-pairing, i.e. permitting non-standard base-pairing at the 3rd anti-codon position. RNAcentral also lists the same sequence under 17 other names. The record is from RNAcentral. Lineage: Bacteria; Thermotogati; Deinococcota; Deinococci; Thermales; Thermaceae.
GCGGGAGUAGCUCAGUUGGUAGAGCACAACCUUGCCAAGGUUGGGGUCGCGGGUUCGAGUCCCGUCUCCCGCUCCA